This 333-nucleotide ribosomal RNA is filed under the name uncultured bacterium. RNAcentral describes it as "bacterial SSU rRNA". It matches the Rfam family "Bacterial small subunit ribosomal RNA", at positions 28 to 354 of the family's 1533-position model. The record is from RNAcentral.
GAUGAACGCUGGCGGCGUGCUUAACACAUGCAAGUCGAACGAAGAUGCCGGAGUGCUUGCACUUUGGCAGACUGAGUGGCGGACGGGUGAGUAACGCGUGGGUAACCUGCCUUAUACAGGGGGAUAACAGUUGGAAACGACUGCUAAUACCGCAUAAGCGCACGGUAUCGCAUGAUACAGUGUGAAAAACUCCGGUGGUAUAAGAUGGACCCGCGUCUGAUUAGCUGUUGGUGAGGUAACGGCCCACCAAGGCGACGAUCAGUAGCCGACCUGAGAGGUGACCGGCCACAUUGGGACUGAGACACGGCCCAAAACUCCUACGGGAGGCAGCAG